RNAcentral lists this transfer RNA (23 nucleotides) under Pipturus arborescens. RNAcentral's name for it is "partial tRNA-Phe". The record is from RNAcentral. Lineage: Eukaryota; Viridiplantae; Streptophyta; Magnoliopsida; Rosales; Urticaceae.
UCGGGAUAGCUCAGCUGUAGAGC